Molecule: ribosomal RNA, 453 nt
Filed under: uncultured Porphyromonadaceae bacterium
Lineage: Bacteria; Pseudomonadati; Bacteroidota; Bacteroidia; Bacteroidales; Porphyromonadaceae
Description: partial 16S ribosomal RNA
Rfam family: Bacterial small subunit ribosomal RNA
Source: RNAcentral
ACGGAAGGCAGCAGUGAGGAAUAUUGGUCAAUGGGCGGAAGCCUGAACCAGCCAAGUCGCGUGAAGGAUGAAGGUAUUAUGUAUUGUAAACUUCUUUAGUCGCAGAGAAAUAAGGAGGUCGAGACCUCUGAUGCUAGUAUGCGAAGAAUAAGGAUCGGCUAACUCCGUGCCAGCAGCCGCGGUAAUACGGAGGAUCCGAGCGUUAUCCGGAUUUAUUGGGUUUAACGGGUGCGCAGGCGGUCUUUUAAGUCAGUGGUAAAAUCGUGGGGCUCAACCCCAUCCCGCCAUUGAUACUGGAGGACUUGAGUGCGGUAGAGGUUGGCGGAAUUCGUCGUGUAGCGGCGAAAUGCAUAGAUAUGACGAAGAACACCGAUUGCGUAGGCAGCUGACCAGGCCGUAAACGACGCUCAUGCACGAAAGUGCGGGGAUCGAACAGGAUUAGAUACCCUGGUA